AACCGCUAAAGGCGAACCUGACCGAAAGGCGGGGGCGCAAAGCCACGGGCCUAAAGCCUCAACAGGCCAUGGCAGCCGGGUUGCCGGA
This is a non-coding RNA of Moorella thermoacetica ATCC 39073, 88 nucleotides long. The record is from Rfam. Lineage: Bacteria; Bacillati; Bacillota; Clostridia; Neomoorellales; Neomoorellaceae.